This 322-nucleotide ribosomal RNA is filed under the name uncultured Sandona. Its description in RNAcentral is "bacterial SSU rRNA". The stretch from base 113 to 322 matches the Rfam family "Eukaryotic small subunit ribosomal RNA", at positions 743 to 955 of the family's 1831-position model. The record is from RNAcentral. Lineage: Eukaryota; Cercozoa; Glissomonadida.
GAUUUCUGGCUCUGUUGGGCUGGUCCGGGCCUUCUGGGUUCCGUGUAUCAGUUUCGACGUGCCAUCUUUUCCGGAAACGGCGUGCAGGGGCAACUCUGUGCGAGAAUACGCUCCGGAUCUUUUACUUUGAAAAAAUUAGAGUGUUUAAAGCAGGCUUACGCUGUGAAUAUAUUAGCAUGGAAUAACGAUUUAGGACUUUCGUCCUUUUGUUGGUUUUCUAGGAUGGAAGUAAUGAUUGAUAGGGAUAGUUGGGGGUGCUAGUAUUUCGUCAACAGAGGUGAAAUUCUUGGACCGACGAAAGACUAACUUAUGCGAAAGCAUU